RNAcentral lists this ribosomal RNA (301 nucleotides) under uncultured bacterium. RNAcentral's name for it is "partial 16S ribosomal RNA". It matches the Rfam family "Bacterial small subunit ribosomal RNA", at positions 509 to 808 of the family's 1533-position model. The record is from RNAcentral.
CAGCAGCCGCGGUAAUACGUAGGUGGCAAGCGUUGUCCGGAAUUAUUGGGCGUAAAGGGCUCGCAGGCGGUUUCUUAAGUCUGAUGUGAAAGCCCCCGGCUCAACCGGGGAGGGUCAUUGGAAACUGGGAAACUUGAGUGCAGAAGAGGAGAGUGGAAUUCCACGUGUAGCGGUGAAAUGCGUAGAGAUGUGGAGGAACACCAGUGGCGAAGGCGACUCUCUGGUCUGUAACUGACGCUGAGGAGCGAAAGCGUGGGGAGCGAACAGGAUUAGAUACCCAGUAGUCCCUGUCUCUUAUACA